UAGUAAUAGGUAUGCUUUAGGAGGGGCUUGCGCCAUAUUAGUUAGUUGGUAGGGUAAUGGCCUACCAAGACGAUGAUGUGUAGCUGGACUGAGAGGUUGAACAGCCACAUUGGGACUGAGACACGGCCCAAACUCCUACGGGAGGCAGCAGUAGGGAAUUUUCGGCAAUGGAGGAAACUCUGACCGAGCAACGCCGCGUGAAUGACGAAGUACUUCGGUAUGUAAAGUUCUUUUAUCAAGGAAGAAAAGCAAAUGGCGAACCAUUUGUUUGCCGGUACUUGAUGAAUAAGCCCCGGCUAAUUAUGUGCCAGCAGCCGCGGUAAGACAUAAGGGGCAAGUGUUAUCCGGAAUUAUUGGGCGUAAAGGGUGCGUAGGCGGUCUAGUAAGUCAGUGGUGUAAUGGCAACGCUUAACGUUGUCCGGCUAUUGAAACUGCUAAACUUGAGUUAGAUAGAGGCGAGUGGAAUUCCAUGUGUAGCGGUAAAAUGCGUAAAUAUAUGGAGGAACACCAGAGGCGUAGGCGGCUCGCUGGGUCUUAACUGACGCUGAGGCACGAAAGCGUGGGGAGCAAACAGGAUUAGAUACCCUGGUAGUCCACGCCGUAAACGAUGAGUACUAAGUGUCGGGUUAAACCGGUACUGAAGUUAACACAUUAAGUACUCCGCCUGAGUAGUACGUACGCAAGUAUGAAACUUAAAGGAAUUGACGGGACUCCGCACAAGCGGUGGAUCAUGUUGUUUAAUUCGAAGAUACCCGAAAAACCUUACCAGGUCUUGACAUGUUUUUGCAAAAUGAUAGUAAUAUCGUGGAGGUUACCAGAAACACAGGUGGUGCAUGGUUGUCGUCAGCUCGUGUCGUGAGAUGUUAGGUUAAGUCCUAAAACGAGCGAAACCCUUAUCGUUAGUUGCCAGCACGUUAUGGUGGGGACUUUAACGAGACUGCCAAUGAUAAAUUGGAGGAAGGUGAGGAUCACGUCAAAUCAGCAUGCCCCUUAUGACCUGGGCUACAAACGUGAUACAAUGGCUGUUACAAAGGGUAGCUGAAACGCAAGUUCUUGGCCAAUCCCCAAAAACAGUCCCAGUCCGGAUUGAAGUCUGCAACUCGACUUCAUGAAGUUGGAAUCGCUA
This 1126-nucleotide ribosomal RNA is filed under the name Pigeon pea little leaf phytoplasma. Its description in RNAcentral is "bacterial SSU rRNA". It matches the Rfam family "Bacterial small subunit ribosomal RNA", at positions 202 to 1337 of the family's 1533-position model. Lineage: Bacteria; Bacillati; Mycoplasmatota; Mollicutes; Acholeplasmatales; Acholeplasmataceae. RNAcentral also lists the same sequence under 1 other name. The record is from RNAcentral.